RNAcentral lists this ribosomal RNA (301 nucleotides) under uncultured bacterium. RNAcentral's name for it is "partial 16S ribosomal RNA". It matches the Rfam family "Bacterial small subunit ribosomal RNA", at positions 509 to 807 of the family's 1533-position model. The record is from RNAcentral.
CAGUCGCCGCGGUAAUACGGAGGGAGCUAGCGCUGUUCGGAAUUACUGGGCGUAAAGCGCGCGUAGGCGGUUACUCAAGUCAGAGGUGAAAGCCCGGGGCUCAACCCCGGAACUGCCUUUGAAACUAGGUGACUAGAAUCUUGGAGAGGUCAGUGGAAUUCCGAGUGUAGAGGUGAAAUUCGUAGAUAUUCGGAAGAACACCAGUGGGGAAGGCGACUGACUGGACAAGUAUUGACGCUGAGGUGCGAAAGCGUGGGGAGCAAACAGGAUUAGAUACCCCAGUAGUCCCUGUCUCUUAUAC